This 497-nucleotide ribosomal RNA is filed under the name uncultured bacterium. Its description in RNAcentral is "partial 16S ribosomal RNA". It matches the Rfam family "Bacterial small subunit ribosomal RNA", at positions 28 to 507 of the family's 1533-position model. The record is from RNAcentral.
GAUGAACGCUGGCGGCGUGCCUAAUACAUGCAAGUCGAGCGAACAGACGAGGAGCUUGCUCCUCUGACGUUAGCGGCGGACGGGUGAGUAACACGUGGAUAACCUACCUAUAAGACUGGGAUAACUUCGGGAAACCGGAGCUAAUACCGGGUAAUAUAUUGAACCGCAUGGUUCAAUAGUGAAAGACGGUUUUGCUGUCACUUAUAGAUGGAUCCGCGCCGCAUUAGCUAGUUGGUAAGGUAACGGCUUACCAAGGCAACGAUGCGUAGCCGACCUGAGAGGGUGAUCGGCCACACUGGAACUGAGACACGGUCCAGACUCCUACGGGAGGCAGCAGUAGGGAAUCUUCCGCAAAGGGCGAAAGCCUGACGGAGCAACGCCGCGUGAGUGAUGAAGGUCUUCGGAUCGUAAAACUCUGUUAUUAGGGAAGAACAAAUGUGUAGGUAACUAUGCACGUCUUGACGGUACCUAAUCAGAAAGCCACGGCUAACUACGUG